RNAcentral lists this long non-coding RNA (348 nucleotides) under Setaria italica (foxtail millet). RNAcentral describes it as "long non-coding RNA (SITA_LNC000780)". Lineage: Eukaryota; Viridiplantae; Streptophyta; Magnoliopsida; Poales; Poaceae. The record is from RNAcentral.
CCCAGGGGAACUGUUGACAAAUAUGAGGUGAUAUCCUGUCAUUUACAGAGUCGCAAACAGCAUUCUUCCCAUUCUGCCUCUCAGAUGCCGCUUUCUUUCCCACUAUUUCCUUUUACCGCCACCAAGGGACAGAAGCUCCAGGCUGCGGUGGAGCGGCUCAUCACGGGAGCCUCUCGCAACUGCUGCCCGUGAAAGGGAGGUGGCCCUCGACUCGCCUGGUGAUGGAUUAACUCUCUGGGUGCUAGAUGGACGACUGCCACUGUUGCUAGAGAACAACCUGCUUGUCCGGUUAUAUGGCUGCUCACUUGGUUCCACAGAUGUGCCUGGCCUGCUGCUUGAUGCAAUAGC